RNAcentral lists this ribosomal RNA (301 nucleotides) under uncultured bacterium. RNAcentral describes it as "partial 16S ribosomal RNA". It matches the Rfam family "Bacterial small subunit ribosomal RNA", at positions 509 to 807 of the family's 1533-position model. The record is from RNAcentral.
CAGUCGCCGCGGUAAUACGAAGGGGGCUAGCGUUGCUCGGAAUGACUGGGCGUAAAGGGCGCGUAGGCGGCUGUUACAGUCAGACGUGAAAUUCCUGGGCUCAACCUGGGGGCUGCGUUUGAUACGUGAUGGCUUGAGUUCGGAAGAGGGUCGUGGAAUUCCCAGUGUAGAGGUGAAAUUCGUAGAUAUUGGGAAGAACACCGGUGGCGAAGGCGGCGACCUGGUCCGAUACUGACGCUGAGGCGCGAAAGCGUGGGGAGCAAACAGGAUUAGAUACCCCAGUAGUCCCUGUCUCUUAUAC